Molecule: ribosomal RNA, 228 nt
Filed under: uncultured bacterium
Lineage: Bacteria
Description: partial 16S ribosomal RNA
Rfam family: Bacterial small subunit ribosomal RNA
Source: RNAcentral
UGCGCAGGUGGGGAUGUAAGUCAGUGGUGAAAUACUGCCGCUUAACGGUAGAAUUGCCAUUGAUACUGCAUCUCUUGAGUAUGGUUGAGGUAGGCGGAAUGUGUCGUGUAGCGGUGAAAUGCAUAGAUAUGACACAGAACGCCGAUUGCGAAGGCAGCUUACUAAGCCAUACUGACGCUGAGGCACGAAAGCGUGGGGAGCGAACAGGAUUAGAUACCCUGGUAGUCC